This 391-nucleotide ribosomal RNA is filed under the name uncultured Oscillatoria sp. Its description in RNAcentral is "bacterial SSU rRNA". It matches the Rfam family "Bacterial small subunit ribosomal RNA", at positions 376 to 770 of the family's 1533-position model. The record is from RNAcentral. Lineage: Bacteria; Bacillati; Cyanobacteriota; Cyanophyceae; Oscillatoriales; Oscillatoriaceae.
CGAAAGCCUGACGGAGCAAGACCGCGUGGGGGAAGAAGGCUCUUGGGUUGUAAACCCCUUUUCUCUGGGAAGAAAGUUGUGAAAGCAACCUGACGGUACCAGAGGAAUCAGCAUCGGCUAACUCCGUGCCAGCAGCCGCGGUAAGACGGAGGAUGCAAGCGUUAUCCGGAAUGAUUGGGCGUAAAGCGUCCGCAGGUGGCAGUUCAAGUCUGCUGUCAAAGACCGGGGCUUAACUUCGGAAAGGCAGUGGAAACUGAACAGCUAGAGUAUGGUAGGGGCAGAGGGAAUUCCUGGUGUAGCGGUGAAAUGCGUAGAGAUCAGGAAGAACAUCGGUGGCGAAGGCGCUCUGCUGGACCAUAACGGACACUAAGGGACGAAAGCUAGGGGAGCG